This is a long non-coding RNA of Mastomys coucha (southern multimammate mouse), 671 nucleotides long. RefSeq lists it as uncharacterized. NCBI's taxonomy places the organism in Eukaryota, Metazoa, Chordata, Mammalia, Rodentia, Muridae. The record is from RefSeq and is a predicted model, not a curated record. The transcript is spliced from 3 exons.
GUGAUUAAUAAUGCAGAAGAGGAAGGCUUAAGAGUUAUUGUGCUGUGUGGGUUCUGGGAGGAAGUAAUUAUUGCAAGUCACUGACUAUUUUGGCUAACAAGUUACAGAAAUGGUCCAAACAGACUUCAACAUCUGUGCUAAAAUAAUAAUCUUGUGAGGAUUCAAGGCCAUCCGUACUUUACUACCACCUCUGCCUUCUGUAGAUCAAACAGCCAGAGAUUCCUGUUUUUUCAAGAUGCCAGCAACCCACCAAAGUCAAUGAUUAAUCGUUGUGGAAAAUGGAUCCCUGCCUAGCCAACCUCUUAAGAUUAAGGAAUGACAGGAUUUAAUUAAGUAUGAGGGAGGAAAUGAGGGCAAUAGAUGCUAUGGCUGUACCGGCUGAUUAUGUGUGUCAACUUGACAUAAGUUAGAGUCAUCAGAGAGGAAGGAUCCUCAGUUGAGAAAAUGCCUCCAUGAGAUCCAGCUUUAAGACAUUUUUUUCAAUUAGUGAUUGAUGUGGGAGAAUGCAAGCUGAGCAAGCCAUGGGAAGCAAGCCAGUCAGCAGCACCCCUCCAUGGCCUCUGCAUCAGCUCCUGCCUCCAGGAUCCAGCCCUACUUGAGCUCCUGUCUUGAAUUCCUCCAAUGAUGAACUGUGAUCUGAAAGUGCAAGCCAAAUAAACCCUUUCCUCCCC